RNAcentral lists this ribosomal RNA (516 nucleotides) under uncultured Alteromonadales bacterium. RNAcentral's name for it is "bacterial SSU rRNA". It matches the Rfam family "Bacterial small subunit ribosomal RNA", at positions 355 to 863 of the family's 1533-position model. Lineage: Bacteria; Pseudomonadati; Pseudomonadota; Gammaproteobacteria; Alteromonadales. The record is from RNAcentral.
UGGGGAAUAUUGCACAAUGGGCGAAAGCCUGAUGCAGCCAUACCGCGUGUAUGAAGAAGGCCUUAGGGUUGUAAAGUACUUUCAGCGAGGAGGAAAGGUGGUAAAUUAAUACUUUAUCACUGUGACGUUACUCGCAGAAGAAGCACCGGCUAACUCCGUGCCAGCAGCCGCGGUAAUACGGAGGGUGCAAGCGUUAAUCGGAAUUACUGGGCGUAAAGCGCAUGCAGGCGGUUUGUUAAGCGAGAUGUGAAAGCCCCGGGCUCAACCUGGGAACUGCAUUUCGAACUGGCAAACUAGAGUUCUUGAGAGGGUGGUAGAAUUUCAGGUGUAGCGGUGAAAUGCGUAGAGAUCUGAAGGAAUACCAGUGGCGAAGGCGGCCACCUGGCAAGUAACUGACGCUCAGAUGCGAAAGCGUGGGUAGCAAACGGGAUUAGAUACCCCGGUAGUCCACGCCGUAAACGAUGUCUACUCGGAGUUUGGUUCCUUGAGAACUGGGCUCUUAAGCUAACGCAUUAA